UUGAAUUCCAAGCCCAGGGUCAGCU
This 25-nucleotide non-coding RNA is filed under the name Mus musculus (house mouse). Lineage: Eukaryota; Metazoa; Chordata; Mammalia; Rodentia; Muridae. The record is from RNAcentral.